Long non-coding RNA from Spinacia oleracea (spinach), 1178 nucleotides. RefSeq lists it as uncharacterized. The record is from RefSeq and is a predicted model, not a curated record. Lineage: Eukaryota; Viridiplantae; Streptophyta; Magnoliopsida; Caryophyllales; Amaranthaceae. The transcript has 9 exons.
CCUUUAUGGUGAGGACUAAAAAAAACGACACUGCUCUUUACCACUCUUUCCCCAAAAAACAACGAGCAACCUCCAAUACUCUCUCCACUUCUCAGUCUCCACUGCGCAUUACUCCGGUGACAGGGCGACGUGAUUCACUACCAUGGAACACCAUAAAUCUAUGCAAGAAAACUCAAUCAAAAAAAACAACCAAAAUAGACUACCCACCAUAGUUGCUGCCUAUCAAGCUGUUGCUUUCACAUCAAUUGGUUCUUGAGUUCUUCACUCGGAUUUCAUCGGAAUUGAUAGAUAAAGAAGGGCGCUCCUACUAUCGUUGAAGUUGAAGUUUGGCAGAAGCUCCUGUUCCUGACCAAGUGAAGAAUUCAGAGGUUGCUAACAUUGCAAAAGAUGAUAUAGAGGCUCAAUUUGCAUUGUCCAUAGAUCCAUCAUUGGAGAUUGGAGAUCACUGACUUGAUGAUCAACAUUAUAAAGCACGUCCUGGCACCAAACAUGUAAAGCUGAGUGUUCGGGAGAAGGAACAUAUGCUACAGAAGUACCAAUUGGAGGAUCACUAGGUUCAGGUUAUUCCUGGUACGGACUCGGAGAUGAUUGAGUACUUUCUUGAUACUGAGGCUCAGGAGAUUGAGUAUGAAAUUGCUAGGUUGAGGCCAAGGCUGAUCCCAAUGGAGAUGUUCGUGGGAGAAUGAUCAAUGCUGGCAUUAUUCAAAGAGUUCUAUGAUUUGGAAGCAGAAUCGUUCAAUCGAAUCUAAGCCUCCAGUUAAGAAGCAAAAACGUCAGAAAGACGAAGAUACAGAAAAAUCAAAGCCAAAAGCAAAGCAAAAAAAGGGAGAGGCUACUGGUAAUUUCUUUCUUAUACCCCAGGCUUUGCGAAGUUCCUUGGUACUGGAGAAACUACGCUAAGUAGGUCAGAUGCUGUCAAGAGGAUUUGGUAUUAUAUAAAGCAGAAUCAGCUCCAGGUUUUCACAACUCCAAGGGAGGGGCCCUUUACCAAAGAGGAGUUGAAUGAAGUUCGAGACAAGUGGGCUACUUACUUAAACGAUUGUGAACUACCCUCAGUGUAAUAAGUAGAGCAGACUUGUAGUUAUCCGUGACUCUUACAUUAUUUUGUUAUUUAUCGAUUUAAUUAAUUACAUUUGAAUUAAUUCGGUAAUAUUAUUGGAAAUUUGAAAUUUAUAUCA